CAUGCAAGUCGAACGCUUGUAGCAAUACAAGAGUGGCAGACGGGUGCGGAACACGUGGGAACAUACCCUUUGGUUCGGAAUAACUCAGGGAAACUUGAGCUAAUACCGGAUAAGCCCUUUUGGGGAAAGAUUUAUCGCCGAAGGAUUGGCCCGCGUCCGAUUAGCUAGUUGGUGAGGUAAUGGCUCACCAAGGCGACGAUCGGUAGCUGGUCUGAGAGGAUGAUCAGCCACAUUGGGACUGAGACACGGCCCAAACUCCUACGGGAGGCAGCAGUGGGGAAUAUUGGACAAUGGGCGCAAGCCUGAUCCAGCCAUGCCGCGUGAGUGAUGACGGCCCUAGGGUUGUAAAGCUCUUUCACCCACGACGAUAAUGACGGUAGUGGGAGAAGAAGCCCCGGCUUCGUGCCAGCAGCCGCGGUAAUAC
Molecule: ribosomal RNA, 424 nt
Filed under: uncultured bacterium
Lineage: Bacteria
Description: bacterial SSU rRNA
Rfam family: Bacterial small subunit ribosomal RNA
Source: RNAcentral